This 315-nucleotide ribosomal RNA is filed under the name uncultured eukaryote. Its description in RNAcentral is "partial 18S ribosomal RNA". It matches the Rfam family "Eukaryotic small subunit ribosomal RNA", at positions 1470 to 1796 of the family's 1831-position model. The record is from RNAcentral.
CCCUUAGACGUUCUGGGCCGCACGCGCGCUACACUGACCAGUGCAACAAGCAUCCGUCCUUGGCCGACAGGCCCGGGCAAUCUUUGAACGCUGGUCGUGAUGGGGAUAGACUUUUGCAAUUUUUGGUCUUCAACGAGGAAUUCCUAGUAAACGCAAGUCAUCAACUUGCAUUGAUUACGUCCCUGCCCUUUGUACAUACCGCCCGUCGCACCUACCGAUUGAAUGGUCCGGUGAAGCCUCCGGAUUGGCGCGCACCUCGGUGCCGCCGAGAAGUUGGCUAAACCUUACCAUUUAGAGGAAGGUGAAGUCGUAACA